CCUACGGGCGGCAGCAGUCGAGAAUCAUUCACAAUGGGGGAAACCCUGAUGGUGCGACGCCGCGUGGGGGAAUGAAGGUCUUCGGAUUGUAAACCCCUGUCAUGUGGGAGCAAAUUAAAAAGAUAGUACCACAAGAGGAAGAGACGGCUAACUCUGUGCCAGCAGCCGCGGUAAUACAGAGGUCUCAAGCGUUGUUCGGAAUCACUGGGCGUAAGGCGUGCGUAGGCUGUUUCGUAAGUCGUGUGUGAAAGGCGCGGGCUCAACCCGCGGACGGCACAUGAUACUGCGAGACUAGAGUAAUGGAGGGGGAACCGGAAUUCUCGGUGUAGCAGUGAAAUGCGUAGAUAUCGAGAGGAACACUCGGGGCGAAGGCGGGUUCCUGGACAUUAACUGACGCUGAGGCACGAAGGCCAGGGGAGCGAAAGGGAUUAGAUACCCGAGUAGUC
Molecule: ribosomal RNA, 446 nt
Filed under: uncultured bacterium
Lineage: Bacteria
Description: partial 16S ribosomal RNA
Rfam family: Bacterial small subunit ribosomal RNA
Source: RNAcentral